GCUUGCUAACUCUCCUACUGGAAGCACGAAACCAGGCCAGAGUAUUCGAAACUGUGAGGAGCUAAUUCCUCUUAAUCGGUAAGAUCAGUAAAUUACCCAAAUAAGAUGGAUUUCGGAAAAAAAGGGGCUUGAUUUCUUGGACUUGAGUGAGAACCAGCUUGAAGGCAUGCACUUAGACUCUGAUCUAGUGAUGUUAAGCUUGAAGGAAAUUGGAAAACUCAAGGCUGCCUCCAAGAGAAGAGGCAAAAUACUUGGUGUGCAAGCAAUCUCUCACGAGAGACUCUUACUUUUGUUUGCAUUUUGCAAGAGGGUCAUCUAAAGUGAAUUUGAUGUCUUUGAAACAAGAUUACUUGGAAUGGAGAAUGUUACAAUGUACCUACAUUUGGACUACGUUUUUAUUUCUUGACGGUGGAAGAGCUGUGCAGGUAAUAUUCUCCUUUGUGUCUUCUACCUCAACCACUUGAAUCAUAUGGUUGAGGCCUAGUUGUAAUCAACAGCUAUUCUAGAGCUUGGAUGUAAAAUCAUAAUAUCCAAAUCUGCAUUUUAGGUGCAGCCAUGUUUUGAACCCUGUGAUUGUUGUAGUGGGUGGCAAGUUUCUUGACAAAACAGUCUUCAAGAUAACCCAUAAAUCUAAAUACCACCAUUCCAAUGAUUAUAUCCACAUUAUUAUGCACUCUAAAUAUUAGUUGACCAUUUGUUUAAUUUGA
Molecule: long non-coding RNA, 707 nt
Organism: Humulus lupulus (European hop)
Lineage: Eukaryota; Viridiplantae; Streptophyta; Magnoliopsida; Rosales; Cannabaceae
Exons: 5
Source: RefSeq, a predicted model, not a curated record